RNAcentral lists this ribosomal RNA (203 nucleotides) under Gephyrocapsa oceanica. Its description in RNAcentral is "partial Bacterial small subunit ribosomal RNA". It matches the Rfam family "Bacterial small subunit ribosomal RNA", at positions 847 to 1070 of the family's 1533-position model. Lineage: Eukaryota; Haptophyta; Isochrysidales; Noelaerhabdaceae. The record is from RNAcentral.
AGAAGCGAAAGCGAAAGUAUUCCGCCAGGAGAGUAUAGCUUCAAAGUUGAAAUCCAAGACAAUAGACGGUUACAGUUGUAGGCAGUGGAUUGUGUUUUUUAAUUCGAUAAUCCCCGAAAAUCUUACCAUUAUUUGAAUCAAAUUAAGAAAAAAGAAAUUAAGAAUGACAAAUGUUACAUCGUUGUUUAAAGUCUGUGCUUUAA